UACGUAGGGUGCGAGCGUUGUCCGGAAUUACUGGGCGUAAAGAGCUCGUAGGUGGUUUGUCGCGUUGUUCGUGAAAACUCACAGCUUAACUGUGGGCGUGCGGGCGAUACGGGCAGACUGGAGUACUGCAGGGGAGACUGGAAUUCCUGGUGUAGCGGUGAAAUGCGCAGAUAUCGGGAAGAACACCCGUGGCGAAGGCGGCUCUCUGGGACGGUACUGACGCUGAGACGCGAAAGCGUGGGGAGCGAACAGG
RNAcentral lists this ribosomal RNA (253 nucleotides) under uncultured bacterium. Its description in RNAcentral is "partial 16S ribosomal RNA". It matches the Rfam family "Bacterial small subunit ribosomal RNA", at positions 524 to 776 of the family's 1533-position model. The record is from RNAcentral.